AGAACGAACGCUGGCGGCAGGCCUAAUACAUGCAAGUCGAACGCACUCUUCGGAGUGAGUGGCAGACGGGUGAGUAACGCGUGGGAACCUUCCCAAUGGUACGGAAUAACUCCGGGAAACCGGUGCUAAUACCGUAUAAGCCCCUCGGGGGAAAGAUUUAUCGCCAUUGGAUGGGCCCGCGUCGGAUUAGCUAGUUGGUAAGGUAAUGGCUUACCAAGGCUACGAUCCGUAGCUGGUCUGAGAGGAUGAUCAGCCACACUGGGACUGAGACACGGCCCAGACUCCUACGGGAGCAGCAGUAGGGAAUCUGGACAAUGGGACAAGCCUGAUCCAGCCAUGCCGCGUGAGUGAAGAAGGCCGUUAAGGGUUGUAAAGUCUUACGUUUUGGCGGGUACGAAGUAAUGGACCGGUACCCGCAGAACUAAGCCCGGACUAACUCGCGCCA
This 445-nucleotide ribosomal RNA is filed under the name uncultured soil bacterium. Its description in RNAcentral is "bacterial SSU rRNA". It matches the Rfam family "Bacterial small subunit ribosomal RNA", at positions 26 to 510 of the family's 1533-position model. The record is from RNAcentral.